CCUACGGGAGGCAGCAGUGAGGAAUAUUGGUCAAUGGGCUUACGCCUGAACCAGCCAAGUCGCGUGAGGGAAGACUGCCCUAUGGGUUGUAAACCUCUUUUGUCAGGGAGCAACGCCGGCUACGUGUAGCCGGACUGAGAGUACCUGAAGAAAAAGCAUCGGCUAACUCCGUGCCAGCAGCCGCGGUAAUACGGAGUAUGGGAGUGUUAUUCGGUUUUAUUGGGUUUAAAGGGUGCGUAGGCGGAAUGCGAAGUCAGAGGUAAACUCGCGGGGCUAACCCUCGCUCCGACGUUGAAACUGGCGGUCUUGAGUGGGCGAGAGGUAUGCGGAAUGCGUGGUGUAGCGGUGAAAUGCAUAGAUAUCACGCAGAACUCCGAUUGCGAAGGCAGCAUACCGGCGCCCAACUGACGCUGAAGCACGAAAGCGUGGGUAUCGAACAGGAUUAGAUACCCCAGUAGUC
RNAcentral lists this ribosomal RNA (460 nucleotides) under uncultured bacterium. RNAcentral's name for it is "partial 16S ribosomal RNA". It matches the Rfam family "Bacterial small subunit ribosomal RNA", at positions 338 to 795 of the family's 1533-position model. The record is from RNAcentral.